CCAGCCACGCAUAGUACAUUUCCUCCACAUAGUUUGAACUAGUCCCGCUCAGAAAAGGCUCGGCAGCCACCGGCGCGCUGUAGCACCGGAUGGGGUGAAACGUCCUGGGUGCUGCCGGCCUCUGUUGGGAAACUGUCUUAACAGUCUGAGAGGCUGUCAGUGGCCUCAGCUUUGCUGCACAAGUCCUUAAGUUAAACAUGUUUGUCCGACAGCCUCACACGAGUUCCUGCCGGCCCGCCCGUGCUCCCCGCUCGCGGCCCCG
Molecule: long non-coding RNA, 262 nt
Filed under: Gallus gallus (chicken)
Lineage: Eukaryota; Metazoa; Chordata; Aves; Galliformes; Phasianidae
Source: RNAcentral